CCUANGGGAGGCAGCAGUAAGGAAUAUUGCGCAAUGGGCGAAAGCCUGACGCAGCGACGCCGCGUGGGGGAUGAAGGUCUUCGGAUUGUAAACCCCUUUUAGGAGGGAAAAUGGGACGAGCAAUCGUCCGGAUGGUACCUCCAGAAAAAGCCACGGCUAACUUCGUGCCAGCAGCCGCGGUAAUACGAAGGUGGCAAGCGUUGUUCGGAUUUACUGGGCGUAAAGGGAGCGUAGGCGGUUGAGCAAGUCCAUUGUGAAAUCCCCCGGCUUAACCGGGGAACUGCUGUGGAUACUACUUGACUUGAGUGCAGGAGGGGAGAGUGGAAUUCCAGGUGGAGCGGUGAAAUGCGUAGAUAUCUGGAGGAACGCCGGUGGCGAAAGCGACUCUCUGGUCUGCAACUGACGCUGAGGUGCGAAAGCUAGGGGAGCAAACGGGAUUAGAUACCCGUNUANUC
This 455-nucleotide ribosomal RNA is filed under the name uncultured bacterium. RNAcentral's name for it is "bacterial SSU rRNA". It matches the Rfam family "Bacterial small subunit ribosomal RNA", at positions 338 to 795 of the family's 1533-position model. The record is from RNAcentral.